AAAAUAAAAAUUAAUAAAUUUAUAUUAUAAUAAAAAUAAUUUUAAUAUUAAAAUGGGGGGUUUAAGUAUUUUAAUAGAAAAAAUUAAAAAUUUUAUAAUAAAUUAGUAUAGUAAAAGAAAUUUGAAAUAAAUGAAAAUAAAAUUAUUUAAAAGUAAAUUUAAUUUAUUGUAUCUUGUGUAUCAGAGUUUAUUAAAUAAAUUAUAAAAUUUUAUAUAUCUCGAAUUUAAAAGAGUUAAUUAAUUAAUAAAUUUAAUGUAAAAUAAUUAUUUUAAAUAAUUAAUUAGAAAUGAAAUGUUAAUCGUUUUUAAAUAUAUCUAGUUAUUUUAGAAAAAAAUUUAAUUUUAAAUUUAUGAUUUAUUUAAAUUAAAUAAUAAAUUUAAAUAAUUAUAAAUUUUAUAAUUUAAGGGAUAAGCUUUAAAUUAAAAAAUUAUAAAAAUUAAUUUUAUAUUUGAAAUUUUUAAAAUUUAUAUUGUUUAAAAAUUAAAGUUUUUUAUAAAAAAUUUUAAAAUAAAUAAAAUUUAAAAUUUAAUUUAAUUUUUUAUAAAAAUAUAAUUUUUAAUUUAUAAUAAUUAGUAAUAAUGAUAAAAUUAGUAUAAAUAAUAAUUAUAUUAAAUAAAUAAAUUUAUUUAAUAAUUAAAUAAAAGGAAUUCGGCAAAAAUGUAUAUUCACCUGUUUAACAAAAACAUGUCUUUUUGAGUUAAUUUAAAGUCUAAUCUGCCCACUGAUUUUAAUAUUAAAGGGCUGCAGUAAUUUGACUGUACAAAGGUAGCAUAAUCAUUAGUCUUUUAAUUGAAGACUUGUAUGAAUGAUUUGAUGAAAUAUAAACUGUCUCUAAUUUAUAAAUAAAACUUAAUUUUUUAGUUAAAAAGCUAAAAUAUUUUUAAAAGACGAGAAGACCCUAUAGAGUUUUAUAAUUUUUAAUUUAAAAUAUUUAUAUAAAAUUUUAAUAUUAUAUAUUAAAAAUUAUUUUGUUGGGGUGAUAAAAAAAUAAAUAAAACUUUUUUUUUAUUUAACAAAAAUAAAUGAAUAAAUGAUCCAUAUUAAUGAUUAAAAGAAAAAAUUACCUUAGGGAGAACAGCGUAAUAUUUUUUUUUAGUACAAAUAAAAAAAAAAGUUUGCGACCUCGAUGUUGGAUUAAGAUAAAAUUUAAAUGCAAAAGUUUAAAAUUUUGAUCUGUUCGAUCAUUAAAAUCUUACAUGAUCUGAGUUCAAACCGGUGUAAGCCAGGUUGGUUUCUAUCUUUAAAAUAAUAAAAUAUUUUA
Molecule: ribosomal RNA, 1262 nt
Filed under: Luthrodes pandava
Lineage: Eukaryota; Metazoa; Arthropoda; Insecta; Lepidoptera; Lycaenidae
Description: partial 16S ribosomal RNA
Rfam family: Eukaryotic large subunit ribosomal RNA (bases 1123-1230)
Source: RNAcentral